Long non-coding RNA from Cyprinus carpio (common carp), 1734 nucleotides. NCBI's taxonomy places the organism in Eukaryota, Metazoa, Chordata, Actinopteri, Cypriniformes, Cyprinidae. The record is from Ensembl.
GUCUAAGUUGAAAGUAAAAAUGCUGACAUGAUAAUCAAAGCCAAUCAUAUACUGUAUAAUGCAGGACCAGUAAAACUUCUAUGUGCCACAGAAAGUUACAGAAUAUGCAAAAUACGGUAUACUUCAUUCAUUGCUUGUGGUCGUGGCUGCUUAAUUGGACCAAAAUCUGGGCACUUUUGUUAAAAAUGGAUGAGACCUUUUACUUAUGUAUUUUUUUUAUUAUUAUUAUUAUUAUUUUUAAGUUGAGAUUAAAUAUAUUUUCAGUGUGGUUUAGACUUGUGGACCCCACUGUAAAAUAUUAAAAGUGUCUGAUAAUAUGAUAUUACUGAGAUAAAGUGAGUAGCGCUGUUUUUGGCUGGUCAUGUGAUUUGUCUGUCCAUGCUGGAAGAAAAAGUAUAUUGUGUCAUGAUGUGACACAAUCACAGCCAAUCAGAAUAUAUUUGAUGUAUUAUAUAUGUGGGGCAGAAUUUUGCACUAAGAAAUAUUUCUUCUUAGCUAAAUGCUACAGAAAGUGCUUGUGGUUGUGGCUGAUUAAUACUAAAAAAAAUCUCUUUUUUCUCUUUUUCCCCUCAUUUGCUCUCUGAAUUGGAUCGGUUCAAAUUGAACUGGUGGACAAAUAGGUCCCAAAGCUUCUCACAUGUGACCACAAGCUCGGGCAUGUCAGCUGCUUCUGCUCUCCUCUCUGGAUGACAGAUACAUCAGGUCUGGGUUCAGCUGCAGGGCCUCAGGAGAGUGAGAGGAAGCUGCUCUCAUCCUGGCCCAGCGUUGAGAAGUGUAGUGCAGGGAGAGUUUCCAGCUCCACUGGGAAGCGGCUGGUGGCUCUGCCCUGCGCUCUGGCCAUGCGAGAAGCUGUUGUCUCAGACCUCUUUGAACCUCUCAAACUGAAGCCCUCUAGAACACCUAAACAUUUUCCAUUGUCCGGUAACAUUUCCUUUGGUCUCUUCUCUGUGUCUGUUUCUUGUCUAGUCAGAGGAAGAUGGUAUAAGAGGAAUUCAGAAGGCCAAGGACAAGAUAAAAAAACGAACUCAGGCGAUAACGCUCAGACUACAAAUAGCCGGGACAAGAGCAUCGCUCACAGAUUUAUGAAGAGUCCAGAAAUGUGUCUCAUCAUUAUGGAGGAAGGUCUUUAACCAGUCCAACUCUUGGCAGGUGCAGAACACUAAAGGACCAUUUUAUUUCUAAAUUAGUCUGAAAGGCGCACCACAAAGACUGGAAAUGCUGCUGCCCUUUCAUUUUAAAUGGCUAUUGGGUUCAUCCUGCACAUAAAACUGAUCACAGAAAAUUAAUCUAAGCGUUUGGAGAAGAGACUGGAGAUACUGUAUGAACUGUCCCUCUGGAAUGGGCUGCCAUUAAGUUUACUAAAAAUGUCUGUUGGUUUCGCCCAGACAGUUACUUAGGAGAGCUGUGUCUGAACGGGAUCCAGAUCUCUGGUAUGUGGUGCAGUAAUGACAGAGAAAUGUUGUCAUAAUUAUUGUAAUUUCUUUUGAUUUAGAAAGUUGGUGCAGUUUUAAUUGAGAGGACAAAUUUAGCUGUAUUGGACAGCCGAGUUCAUGAAUGUGUGCCCAGUAACAGUUCAAAACUUUUUAAACUAAUCAAGAUAACUUUUUGCUUUCUUUCUUUCUAACAUGUUACUAAUGCUGUAAGUCAUACGUUUAUAUGAUGUCUGCUAGCUUACUCCGAAAAUGUAUAUUCUGUGAAAAUGUAUCUUCCAGUGAUUAUGCAUGAAGAUAAAUU